GAAUAUUGGUCAAUAGCCCAACGGCUGAACCAGCAACUUGGAGGAAUGUAUAGCGAAAGCUAAUUGUAUUAGCUGGCAAUGCUUAAUACAAUAUCGACUCUGUCGACUAAAAUUCUAGGUAAAACAAUGAUAAUGACAUUUUUUAUCUAUGUGUCUUGACCAAGUCACGUGCCAGCAGUCGCGGCAAUACGUGGAAGACUAGUGUUAUUCAUCUUUAAUAGGUUUAAAGGGUACCCAGACGGAAUAUUUAGCCCAAAAAGGGUACUAAAUAUACUAGAGUUUGAUGUGAGAGGGAGUGAAUAGUACUAAUGGUGUAGAGAUGAAAUUCGUUGAUACCGGGAGGAAACUGGCAGCGGCGAAAGCAACUCUUUAUGUAAUAACUGACGUUGAAG
Molecule: ribosomal RNA, 392 nt
Filed under: Umbilicaria cinereorufescens
Lineage: Eukaryota; Fungi; Ascomycota; Lecanoromycetes; Umbilicariales; Umbilicariaceae
Description: mitochondrial SSU rRNA
Rfam family: Bacterial small subunit ribosomal RNA
Source: RNAcentral